AGAAAAGCAUUGUCUGGGCUGAGAACUUAUGGGAAGAUGUCCCUUUGGGAGAACUCCUCCUGCAUAGCCGGUUCCCUGCCAUUUGGCAGUCCUUGGUAAGACAUCUCCAGGAGUCUGGCAUAUGGGAACUGAUGUUAAGGCAGCUCCCCAAGGAGCCUGCCAACCCCGGCCCACAUUAAGGGCUGCAUGCUGAGGCUCCAGGGCACAAUCUCUAGUCAAGUCUCCAGAGACCAGUUGCAAAGGAGACAUGAAAGACAUACACACUCCCAUUCUUGCCAAGCUGCUAGAAUUAAAGCUGGUUACAGCAGUGUGAAAAACC
Chelonoidis abingdonii (Abingdon island giant tortoise) is the source of this 319-nucleotide long non-coding RNA. RefSeq lists it as uncharacterized. The record is from RefSeq and is a predicted model, not a curated record. Lineage: Eukaryota; Metazoa; Chordata; Testudines; Testudinidae.